Long non-coding RNA from Portunus trituberculatus (swimming crab), 527 nucleotides. RefSeq lists it as uncharacterized. NCBI's taxonomy places the organism in Eukaryota, Metazoa, Arthropoda, Malacostraca, Decapoda, Portunidae. The record is from RefSeq and is a predicted model, not a curated record. The transcript is spliced from 2 exons.
CACGGCGGAGGGAGGGUGCGUGCGUGUGGAGCUCUGGUGACACUGACUUGGAUUGAAGGCGUACUCUGAGUCUCACCAUCUUUGCCGUACCUCCGCUGUAUUCCAAAGGCUCUUGUUGAAGUGAUACGCGUUUCCAAAGAUGUGUUUUUCAUGGUUUCAGUGAGAGAUAAACACGAUUUCUUCGCCAAACUUGAAUUCUUGAUGGUUUGAAUUAAGAGUUACAUGUUGAGCCGAAAAAUGAAAAAAAGAGAGAGAGAGAGAGAGAGAAAAGAAAACAAUGAUUACUUUUGUGUGUGUGAUUUGUGCAUGAAACUUGAAAGGAAAGAAAAAUAAUUACCAUCGUGUAUGUGUGUGUGUGUGUGUGUGUAACUUGAAAGAAAAGAAAAGAUAAAAAAGAAGAGAUACACUAAAUACAAUGAUGAAUACAGGAAGAAGCACACAUACUAAUAAAAGUGAAGAGGAACAUAGAUAGGUAACGAUAAUGGAAGUUCUGGUAAAGAUUGAGGAAACAGAGACACAUAGAGAGA